GACGAACGCUGGCGGCGUGCUUAACACAUGCGAGUCGAACGGAAAGGCCCUGCUUUUGUGGGGUGCUCGAGUGGCGAACGGGUGAGUAACACGUGAGUAACCUGCCCUUGACUUUGGGAUAACUUCAGGAAACUGGGGCUAAUACCGGAUAGGAGCUCCUGCUGCAUGGUGGGGGUUGGAAAGUUUCGGCGGUUGGGGAUGGACUCGCGGCUUAUCAGCUUGUUGGUGGGGUAGUGGCUUACCAAGGCUUUGACGGGUAGCCGGCCUGAGAGGGUGACCGGCCACAUUGGGACUGGGAUACGGCCCAGACCCCUACGGGGGGCAGCAGGGGGGAAUAUUGCAAAAGGGGCGGAAGCCUGAUGCAGCAACGCCGCGUGCGGGAUGACGGCCUUCGGGUUGUAAACCGCUUUCGCCUGUGACGAAGCGUGGGUGACGGUAAUGGGAAAAGAAGCACCGGCUAACUACGU
This 467-nucleotide ribosomal RNA is filed under the name uncultured bacterium. RNAcentral's name for it is "partial 16S ribosomal RNA". It matches the Rfam family "Bacterial small subunit ribosomal RNA", at positions 28 to 506 of the family's 1533-position model. The record is from RNAcentral.